Molecule: long non-coding RNA, 270 nt
Organism: Quercus robur (English oak)
Lineage: Eukaryota; Viridiplantae; Streptophyta; Magnoliopsida; Fagales; Fagaceae
Exons: 2
Source: RefSeq, a predicted model, not a curated record
UUUCUUAAUUCAUAAUCUGAGUGUACAAUGAUAUAUAUACUGUAAUCUGCCUAAUGUAUAGAGUAACAGAAUUGAUCCUGAUCACACGGAUCAGCUCCGUGAAUUCAGGAGAGCUAACUAACUUCCAACUGACUCAGGUUUCGCGCCAUUAUUUGAAGAGCUGGUUCAUGCUUCUAAACGACACCGUUCUAGCUCAUCAAGCUUAAAUAACAAACACAGCUAAAACGGUGCGUCGCUCUUUAUAUUACAUAAAUGAAACGGUGCGUUGCA